This 353-nucleotide transfer-messenger RNA is filed under the name Nanosynbacter sp. RNAcentral's name for it is "Candidatus Nanosynbacter sp. transfer-messenger RNA". It matches the Rfam family "transfer-messenger RNA". Rfam says of the family: Bacterial tmRNA, also known as 10Sa RNA or SsrA, is named for its dual tRNA and mRNA-like properties. Its role is to liberate the mRNA from a stalled ribosome. Lineage: Bacteria; Bacillati; Minisyncoccota; Nanosynbacteria; Nanosynbacterales; Nanosynbacteraceae. The record is from RNAcentral.
GGGGCUGACAAAGCUUAGACGGAUUAUUAACAGAUAUCAGGCAUGACGAUUGAUACCGUAAGUAUUGAAUAAGUGAAGAAACAACUUCAAAGCACGUGCUUUACGCACCUGUUUACGCCUAAUUUUUUAUAGGCCGGUUUAGAUAUAGUUUCUCGGAAGAUCUAAAUUGUUAUAAAAGAGAGAAUAGGGGCAACUAAGUGAUGCAGGUUGCCUAGAAAAAUAAAUCAUGGGUUCUAGAAGUUUUGUUCUAUUGCAGCUUCUAGAAAUAACCGAGAUGAAACAAAGAACUAUGCAUGUAGAAUGAUAUCAUGGAGAUUUUUCGGACCCGGAGGCAGUAUCCGGCAGCUCCACCA